CAAGUACCUGCCAAACGCUGUUGUGGAAACCUCUUUCCUGGGAAAACAAAGGUCAUGACAUUUUGAGCACAAUCAAGUGUGGGAUGCAUUCAUCAAUAGAGCUGGAAGCACCAACCACCAUAGGAGAUUCGCCAUAUAAAUGAGUUUUUCAUCCUGUCUGCAUCACCCCAAACCCACUGUCACUAAUCAUCUUCCCAUCAUUCAAGCACCUGUGAAUGCUCACUAAGAUGUACCAACAGGAAGACCACGACUUCAAGUCUUCAACCAGUCCCUGAAAACAUCAGAUCAAGUCACAGAUACACAUAGAGGGAAGGCCACGUGAAGACAAACCCAUAGGUGGUGAAGAUGGCCACCUAUCAGCCAAGGAGAAAGGCCUCCAAGGAAACCACA
Molecule: long non-coding RNA, 390 nt
Organism: Saimiri boliviensis boliviensis (Bolivian squirrel monkey)
Lineage: Eukaryota; Metazoa; Chordata; Mammalia; Primates; Cebidae
Source: RefSeq, a predicted model, not a curated record